This 1054-nucleotide long non-coding RNA is filed under the name Marmota monax (woodchuck). The record is from RNAcentral. Lineage: Eukaryota; Metazoa; Chordata; Mammalia; Rodentia; Sciuridae.
GUUAUCACUGCUGUGUUGGAUCUAGUGCUCAGUGUUUCCUCCUCUGGAUCCUGGGGCCUUUCCCUAGUGACCUCCUGGAUUUCCAGCUUGUGGUUUGGUUCAUUGGUUGUGUAAGCUAAGUAGGAGAGCUCUCCCAAUCUUAGAAUGCGUGUCCAUGGACUGAGCCUCAAGGUUUAGAAAACAAAAGAAUGAAAUGCCUAUGUGAUAUGCCACUGAGAUACAGGAAAGCCGAGUGACAUAUUGGAAAGCAAGUGGGUAGAAAUCAGAAGUCUCCAGAUCUGAGAUGGGUUCAUUGAUUUGUUCUACCAGCAUCAUGGGGAAGAAAUACUGGCCUCCAUCAUUUCAUCCGUAAGGGGUAAAAUGACAAGUCUGUAGAUUAAUAGUUACGCAUGCCUUACCUAUCUUCCAGGGGUUUGGUGGGAAAUGAGUGAUGCGGUAUGUAUGGUCUUAGAAGCCAUAAAGAUCUCUAAAGAUGUUGGGCGUGAUGACUCAGAGACAGUCCUUCGGGUCAGCUCCUGAUGCUCUUUUUGUCCUUGGUCCCCUCCCUCAAAUCAGGAAUCAUCCCUUCUUUCUUUUGUCAAACCAUGAGCUGUAAGAGUAUCCUUGCGGAAAGGCUGUUGGAGCUCCUUUGGCCAGUACUAUCUUUCUUAUAGGUUUCUGCCACAAUUAUAGUACUUCUUGGGAGCCUAUUUUCACAGAAAUAAUUCCAGAGGUGUUUGUGUUGGAUUGGCCCUGACCCCAGAGUACAGUAGUAGCUGGUUCUGACAAAUGGAAAAGACCUUUAAUCUGCAAAUGAAAAGUCUAAAACUGGUCCCUGGCUGCUCCCCCUACUCUGGUGGUCUCUUCUGGGAAUGGGCCCACUUUUUAGUUGAAAUGUAACAUUUUGAGCUCCUCUACAGAAUAAGCAAUAGCUGAACUGUGCAGUUGCUAAGGAAUUGGAGGAUCGCUCCUACUGUUUUGAAGGCUCACAUGUCUGAAUUCUGCAAGGGACUUGGUACUCUGUGAAAUCUCCCUUAUCCUGGGAGAAGAGAACCCCUUUCUACCUCUCUCUGCC